This 1251-nucleotide ribosomal RNA is filed under the name metagenome. Its description in RNAcentral is "bacterial LSU rRNA". It matches the Rfam family "Bacterial large subunit ribosomal RNA", at positions 1636 to 2874 of the family's 2925-position model. The record is from RNAcentral.
ACACGACCGUACCGCAAACCGACACUGGUGCGCGAGAUGAGUAUUCUAAGGCGCUUGAGAGAACUCAGGAGAAGGAACUCGGCAAAUUGACACCGUAACUUCGGAAGAAGGUGUGCCUUUAGUAGGUGAAGUCCCUCGCGGAUGGAGCCCAAUGAGGUUGCAAAAAAUCGGUGGCUGCGACUGUUUAUUAAAAACACAGCACUCUGCAAACACGAAAGUGGACGUAUAGGGUGUGACGCCUGCCCGGUGCUGGAAGAUUAAAUGAUGGGGUGCAAGCUCUUGAUUGAAGUCCCAGUAAACGGCGGCCGUAACAAUAACGGUCCUAAGGUAGCGAAAUUCCUUGUCGGGUAAGUUCCGACCUGCACGAAUGGCGUAACGAUGGCCACACUGUCUCCUCCUGAGACUCAGCGAAGUUGAAAUGUUUGUGAUGAUGCAAUCUCCCCGCGGAAAGACGGAAAGACCCCAUGAACCUUUACUGUAGCUUUGUAUUGGACUUUGAACAGAUCUGUGUAGGAUAGGUGGCAGGCUUUGAAGCAGGGUCGCUAGAUCUUGUGGAGCCAACGUUGAAAUACCACCCUGGUGUGUUUGAGGUUCUAACCUAGGCCCGUAAUCCGGGUUGGGGACAGUGCAUGGUAGGCAGUUUGACUGGGGCGGUCUCCUCCCAAAGUGUAACGGAGGAGUUCGAAGGUACGCUAGUUACGGUCGGACAUCGUGACGAUAGUGCAAUGGCAUAAGCGUGCUUAACUGCGAGACUGACAAGUCGAGCAGAUGCGAAAGCAGGACAUAGUGAUCCGGUGGUUCUGUAUGGAAGGGCCAUCGCUCAACGGAUAAAAGGUACUCUGGGGAUAACAGGCUGAUACCGCCCAAGAGUUCAUAUCGACGGCGGUGUUUGGCACCUCGAUGUCGGCUCAUCUCAUCCUGGGGCUGUAGCCGGUCCCAAGGGUAUGGCUGUUCGCCAUUUAAAGUGGUACGUGAGCUGGGUUUAAAACGUCGUGAGACAGUUUGGUCCCUAUCUGCCGUGGGCGUUGGAAGUUUGAGGGGACCUGCUCCUAGUACGAGAGGACCGGAGUGGACAGAUCUCUGGUGUACCGGUUGUCACGCCAGUGGCAUCGCCGGGUAGCUAAAUCUGGAAGAGAUAACCGCUGAAAGCAUCUAAGCGGGAAACUCGCCUCAAGAUGAGACUUCCCUGGGGAUUUAAUCCCCCUGUAGGGUCGUUCAAGACCAGGACGUUGAUAGGUCAGGUGUGGAAAC